RNAcentral lists this long non-coding RNA (242 nucleotides) under Lathyrus oleraceus (garden pea). Its description in RNAcentral is "Pisum sativum (pea) long non-coding RNA (PSAT_LNC018767)". Lineage: Eukaryota; Viridiplantae; Streptophyta; Magnoliopsida; Fabales; Fabaceae. The record is from RNAcentral.
AUUUCUCCAUGAUGUGACGUGGAUUUUAUUUUUCAAUUUAGUAACUUUUGCAUUGUUGCCAUUUAAUUACCCCUUGUAAAUGCUAGGGUUAGUAUGAAAAUCCCAAAUUAGCUAACUUUCGUUCCUACAAAAAGGCGAACUGCACAAGCUGGUUGAAGACGCAAACAAGGUUGUUUCUGGACGGUUGAAGACGAAGCACGGUCGAAGACGCCAUUGAAACAAUGUUUGAGGUUAGUUUUUUC